CGAACGCUGGCGGCGUGCUUAACACAUGCAAGUCGCCCGGAAAGGCCCCUUUGGGGGUACUCGAGUGGCGAACGGGUGAGUAACACGUGAGUAACCUGCCCUUGACUUCGGGAUAACUUCAGGAAACUGGGGCUAAUACCGGAUAGGAAUCCUUGCUGCAUGGUGGGGGUUGGAAAGCUUCGGCGGUUUUGGAUGGACUCGCGGCUUAUCAGCUUGUUGGUGGGGUAGUGGCUUACCAAGGCUUUGACGGGUAGCCGGCCUGAGAGGGCGACCGGCCACAUUGGGACUGAGAUACGGCCCAGACUCCUACGGGAGGCAGCAGUGGGGAAUAUUGCACAAUGGGCGGAAGCCUGAUGCAGCAACGCCGCGUGCGGGAUGACGGCCUUCGGGUUGUAAACCGCUUUCAGCAGGGGCGAAGCUUGUGGUGACGGUACCUGCAGAAGAAGCACCGGCUAACUACGUG
This 463-nucleotide ribosomal RNA is filed under the name uncultured bacterium. Its description in RNAcentral is "partial 16S ribosomal RNA". It matches the Rfam family "Bacterial small subunit ribosomal RNA", at positions 30 to 507 of the family's 1533-position model. The record is from RNAcentral.